RNAcentral lists this ribosomal RNA (751 nucleotides) under uncultured bacterium. RNAcentral describes it as "bacterial SSU rRNA". It matches the Rfam family "Bacterial small subunit ribosomal RNA", at positions 1 to 745 of the family's 1533-position model. The record is from RNAcentral.
UAGAGAUUAGUUUGAUCCUGGCUCAGAAUGAACGCUGGCGGCGUGGAUUAGGCAUGCAAGUCGAACGCAAUGAACGGUUUUCGGAUUGUUCGGAGAGUGGCAACCUGGUUAGUACAAGUUGGGCAACUUGCCCGGAAGUGGGGGACAACGUCUCGAAAGGGGCGCUAAUACCGCAUGUGGUCAAUGGGACUUCGGUUCUGCUGACUAAAGGCUUCGGCCGCUUCCGGAUGGGCCCGACUCCCAUUAGCUUGUUGGUGAGGUAACGGCUCACCAAGGCUACGAUGGGUAGCUGGUCUGAGAGGAUGGUCAGCAACACGAGGACUGAGAUACGGCCUCGACUCCUACGGGGGGCAGCAGUCUAGAGGCUUCGGCAAUGGGGGAAACCCUGACCGAGCGACGCCGCGUGGAGGAUGACGGCCUUCGGGUUGUAAACUCCUUUCGGCGGUGAAAAACCCCGGAGAGGUGAUCUUCGGGUUGAUCUACCCGCGGAAGAAGCCCCGGCUAACUUCGUGCCAGCAGCCGCGGUAAUACGAAGGGGGCGAGCGUUAUUCGGAUUCAUUGGGCGUAAAGGGCGCGCAGGCGGCUUGGCAAGUCAGGUGUGAAAACGCUACCGCUCAACGGAGCGACGGCACUUGAUACUGCUGAACUUGAGUAUAGGAGAGGUAGGCGGAAUACCCGGUGUAGCGGUGGAAUGCUCAGAGAUCGGGUGGAACACCAGUGGCGAAGGCGGCCUACUGGCCUAUUACUGACG